Lagopus muta (rock ptarmigan) is the source of this 817-nucleotide long non-coding RNA. RefSeq lists it as uncharacterized. The transcript is spliced from 3 exons. NCBI's taxonomy places the organism in Eukaryota, Metazoa, Chordata, Aves, Galliformes, Phasianidae. The record is from RefSeq and is a predicted model, not a curated record.
CCUUGGUGGAGCUUUGCUCUGCAAACCUGGAAUCUUCUGAUUGGGCCCCUUUUCUCUAGCCUUGCAGGAUCAAGGGUCUGCAGGAAUGUGCCUUGGACGGCCACGCUGUGAUCCAUCAAUGGGCAAUGAGAGAAUGCAGGAGACUUCAGCACCCACCACACAGAUGUCUUUUGCUUUCCUGAGGUCGGAUACAUAAAAUCUCUUCUGCGACACAAAACAGAAUUUAUUUUAAUCCCACUUGGAUCUUAUCAGACUUAUCAGCUCUUUGGUACAAAAAUUGGGCAAUACUCAUGACACGAAUAAGGAAGAGGAUGUCUAUAAAGAUAUGAGAUUUAAGUGCACAAGCAUCACUCAGAAGUCCCCCUUUCUUUCUCUAGAACUGUUGCAGCCAAACAUCGCUCUCAGAAACACAAUCUGGAGGAGAUCCAUAGCCUACAAUAAAACUAUUUCUACCUAUCCUAGCCUCAAAUCUAAUUACGAUGAGAAGACUAAUAUUGCCUUAAUUACAUUCUGAAGGCUUCCUUCAUUAAGGGGUACCUAGAAGUACAAGCAAUCAAGGUCUCAGAUAAACACGCCUGUGGUUUGUGAGAUCCAGGCACGUACCUUUGAAGCUUGAGUGCUUUGUACUGGGAACGGUACAGAAAACCCAAUAUUGAAAGUUAAACUUUGGCACCAAAUUAUUGAAUGCUAACCAGCAGACAUCAAGGAGAUGAUCUGUUCUUGCUGCUAUGUCAGCAGUGCCCUGUUCCAGGGCACCAGGCCCUGCAGGGUGCUGGGGAGUGGAAUGAGCAGGGACAGCCCCAUCCUGCAGGAUGGA